This 1498-nucleotide ribosomal RNA is filed under the name uncultured Bordetella sp. Its description in RNAcentral is "partial 16S-23S ribosomal RNA intergenic spacer". It matches the Rfam family "Bacterial small subunit ribosomal RNA". Lineage: Bacteria; Pseudomonadati; Pseudomonadota; Betaproteobacteria; Burkholderiales; Alcaligenaceae. The record is from RNAcentral.
AGUUUGAUUAUGGCUCAGAUUGAACGCUGGCGGGAUGUUUACACAUGCAAGUCGAACGGCAGCACGGACUUCGGUCUGGUGGCGAGUGACGAACGGGUGAGUAAUGUAUCGGAACGUGCCUAGUAGCGGGGGAUAACUACGCGAAAGCGUAGCUAAUACCGCAUACGCCCUUCGGGGAAAGCGGGGGACCUUCGGGCCUCGCACUAUUAGAGCGGCCGAUAUCGGAUUAGCUAGUUGGUGGGGUAACGGCUCACCAAGGCGACGAUCCGUAGCUGGUUUGAGAGGACGACCAGCCACACUGGGACUGAGACACGGCCCAGACUCCUACGGGAGGCAGCAGUGGGGAAUUUUGGACAAUGGGGGAAACCCUGAUCCAGCCAUCCCGCGUGUGCGAUGAAGGCCUUCGGGUUGUAAAAGCACUUUAUAGUGAGGUAAGAAACGGCACGGAUAAUACCCCGUGCAACUGACGGUACCUGGGUAGAAUAAGCACCGGCUAACUACGUGCCAGCAGCCGCGGUAAUACGUAGGUGCAAGCGUUAAUCGGAAUUACUGGGCGUAAAGCGUGCGCAGGCGGUUCGGAAAGAAAGAUGUGAAAUCCCAGAGCUUAACUUUGGAACUGCAUUUUUAACUACCGAGCUAGAGUGUGUCAGAGGGAGGUGGAAUUCCGCGUGUGUAGCAGUGUAACGCGUAGAUAUGCGGAGGAACACCGAUGGCGAAGGCAGCCUCCUGGGAUAACACUGACGCUCAUGCACGAAAGCGUGGGGAGCAAACAGGAUUAGAUAAUUCUGGUAGUCCACGCCCUAAACGAUGUCAACUAGCUGUUGGGGCCUUCGGGCCUUGGUAGCGCAGCUAACGCGGUGAAGUUGACCGCCUGGGGAGUACGGUCGCAAGAUUAAAACUCAAAGGAAUUGACGGGGACCCGCACAAGCGGCAGAUGAUGUGGAUUAAUUCGAUGCAACGCGAAAACCUUACCUACUCCUUGACAUGUCUGGAAUCCCGAAGAGAUUUGGGAGUGCUCGCAAGAGAACCGGAACACAGGUGCCGCAUGGCUGUCGUCAGCUCAAAAUGUGAGAUGUUGGGUUAAGUCCCGCAACGAGCGCAACCCCUUGUCAUUAGUUGCUACGAAAGGGCACUCUAUCGAGACUGCCGGUGACAAACCGGAGGAAGGUGGGGAUGACGUCAAGUCCUCAUGGCCCUUAUGCGGGUAGGGCUUCACACGUCAUACAAUGGUCGGGACAGAGGGUCGCCAACCCGCGAGGGGGAGCCAAUCCCAGAAACCCGAUCGUAGGGUCCGGAUCGCAGUCUGCAACUCGACUGCGUGAAGUCGGAAUCGCUAGUAAUCGCGGAUCAGCAUGUCGCGGUGAAUACGUUCCCGGGUCUUGUACACACCGCCCGUCACACCAUGGGAGUGGGUUUUACCAGAAGUAGUUAGCCUAACCGUAAGGAGGGCGAUUACCACGGUAGGAUUCAUGACUGGGGUGAAGUCGUAACAAGGUAA